CCUACGGGAGGCAGCAGUGGGGAAUAUUGGACAAUGGGGGGAACCCUGAUCCAGCCAUGCCGCGUGUGUGAAGAAGGCCCUCGGGUUGUAAAGCACUUUCAGUGAGGAAGAACGCCUGGUGGUUAAGACCCAUCAGGAAAGACAUCACUCACAGAAGAAGCACCGGCUAACUCCGUGCCAGCAGCCGCGGUAAUACGGAGGGUGCGAGCGUUAAUCGGAAUUACUGGGCGUAAAGCGCGCGUAGGUGGCUUGAUAAGCCGGUUGUGAAAGCCCCGGGCUCAACCUGGGAACGGCAUCCGGAACUGUCAAGCUAGAGUGCAGGAGAGGAAGGUAGAAUUCCCGGUGUAGCGGUGAAAUGCGUAGAGAUCGGGAGGAAUACCAGUGGCGAAGGCGGCCUUCUGGACUGACACUGACACUGAGGUGCGAAAGCGUGGGUAGCAAACAGGAUUAGAUACCCUGGUAGUC
RNAcentral lists this ribosomal RNA (465 nucleotides) under Vreelandella stevensii. RNAcentral's name for it is "partial 16S ribosomal RNA". It matches the Rfam family "Bacterial small subunit ribosomal RNA", at positions 338 to 795 of the family's 1533-position model. The record is from RNAcentral. Lineage: Bacteria; Pseudomonadati; Pseudomonadota; Gammaproteobacteria; Oceanospirillales; Halomonadaceae.